This 504-nucleotide ribosomal RNA is filed under the name uncultured bacterium. RNAcentral's name for it is "partial 16S ribosomal RNA". It matches the Rfam family "Bacterial small subunit ribosomal RNA", at positions 29 to 523 of the family's 1533-position model. The record is from RNAcentral.
AUUGAACGCUGGCGGCACGCCUAACACAUGCAAGUCGAGCGGUAGCAUGAUUGGUAGCAAUACUAAUUGAUGACGAGCGGCGGACGGGUGAGGAACACGUAGGAACCUGCCCUUUAGCGGGGGGCAACCAAGGGAAACUUUGGCUAAUACCGCGUAAGCGCGAAAGAGCAAAGCUGCCCGCAAGGGUGGCGCGAGAGGAGGGGCCUGCGUCCGAUUAGCUAGUUGGCGGGGUAAGAGCCCCCCAAGGCGAUGAUCGGUAACUGGCCUUAGAGGACGACCAGUACCACUGGGACUGCGACACGGCCCAGACUCCAACGGGAGGCAGCAGUGGGGAAUCUUGGACAAUGGGUGCAACCCUGCACCAGCGAUGCCGCGUGAGUGCAGAAGGCCUUCGGGUCGUAAAGCUCUUUAGGUUGGGAAGAGGGGUGUGUGGUGAAUAGACAUGCAGUUUGACGGUACCGACAGAAUAAGCACCGGCAAACUCUGUGCCAGCAGCCGCCGUAA